Molecule: non-coding RNA, 76 nt
Organism: Hippoglossus stenolepis (Pacific halibut)
Lineage: Eukaryota; Metazoa; Chordata; Actinopteri; Pleuronectiformes; Pleuronectidae
Source: the annotation of a RefSeq genome assembly
GGCUGGUUACCUCAGAUGGUCAUAGAGCGUGGUGCCAUUAACGCCAAGGUCAUGGGUUCAAGCCCUAUACUGGCCA